This 2111-nucleotide ribosomal RNA is filed under the name Salmonella enterica. RNAcentral describes it as "partial 23S ribosomal RNA". It matches the Rfam family "Bacterial large subunit ribosomal RNA", at positions 711 to 2802 of the family's 2925-position model. RNAcentral also lists the same sequence under 2 other names. The record is from RNAcentral. Lineage: Bacteria; Pseudomonadati; Pseudomonadota; Gammaproteobacteria; Enterobacterales; Enterobacteriaceae.
AGACCCGAAACCCGGUGAUCUAGCCAUGGGCAGGUUGAAGGUUGGGUAACACUAACUGGAGGACCGAACCGACUAAUGUUGAAAAAUUAGCGGAUGACCUGUGGCUGGGGGUGAAAGGCCAAUCAAACCGGGAGAUAGCUGGUUCUCCCCGAAAGCUAUUUAGGUAGCGCCUCGUGAAUUCAUCUCCGGGGGUAGAGCACUGUUUCGGCUAGGGGGCCAUCCCGGCUUACCAACCCGAUGCAAACUGCGAAUACCGGAGAAUGUUAUCACGGGAGACACACGGCGGGUGCUAACGUCCGUCGUGAAGAGGGAAACAACCCAGACCGCCAGCUAAGGUCCCAAAGUCAUGGUUAAGUGGGAAACGAUGUGGGAAGGCCCAGACAGCCAGGAUGUUGGCUUAGAAGCAGCCAUCAUUUAAAGAAAGCGUAAUAGCUCACUGGUCGAGUCGGCCUGCGCGGAAGAUGUAACGGGGCUAAACCAUGCACCGAAGCUGCGGCAGCGACACUCAGGUGUUGUUGGGUAGGGGAGCGUUCUGUAAGCCUGUGAAGGUGGCCUGUGAGGGUUGCUGGAGGUAUCAGAAGUGCGAAUGCUGACAUAAGUAACGAUAAAGCGGGUGAAAAGCCCGCUCGCCGGAAGACCAAGGGUUCCUGUCCAACGUUAAUCGGGGCAGGGUGAGUCGACCCCUAAGGCGAGGCCGAAAGGCGUAGUCGAUGGGAAACGGGUUAAUAUUCCCGUACUUGGUGUUACUGCGAAGGGGGGACGGAGAAGGCUAUGUUGGCCGGGCGACGGUUGUCCCGGUUUAAGCGUGUAGGUGUGUGUUCCAGGUAAAUCCGGUUCACUUUAACACUGAGGCGUGACGACGAGGCACUACGGUGCUGAAGCAACAAAUGCCCUGCUUCCAGGAAAAGCCUCUAAGCAUCAGGUAACAUCAAAUCGUACCCCAAACCGACACAGGUGGUCAGGUAGAGAAUACCAAGGCGCUUGAGAGAACUCGGGUGAAGGAACUAGGCAAAAUGGUGCCGUAACUUCGGGAGAAGGCACGCUGACACGUAGGUGAAGUGAUUUACUCAUGGAGCUGAAGUCAGUCGAAGAUACCAGCUGGCUGCAACUGUUUAUUAAAAACACAGCACUGUGCAAACACGAAAGUGGACGUAUACGGUGUGACGCCUGCCCGGUGCCGGAAGGUUAAUUGAUGGGGUCAGCGCAAGCGAAGCUCCUGAUCGAAGCCCCGGUAAACGGCGGCCGUAACUAUAACGGUCCUAAGGUAGCGAAAUUCCUUGUCGGGUAAGUUCCGACCUGCACGAAUGGCGUAAUGAUGGCCAGGCUGUCUCCACCCGAGACUCAGUGAAAUUGAACUCGCUGUGAAGAUGCAGUGUACCCGCGGCAAGACGGAAAGACCCCGUGAACCUUUACUAUAGCUUGACACUGAACAUUGAGCCUUGAUGUGUAGGAUAGGUGGGAGGCUUUGAAGUGUGGACGCCAGUCUGCAUGGAGCCGACCUUGAAAUACCACCCUUUAAUGUUUGAUGUUCUAACGUGGACCCGUAAUCCGGGUUGCGGACAGUGUCUGGUGGGUAGUUUGACUGGGGCGGUCUCCUCCUAAAGAGUAACGGAGGAGCACGAAGGUUGGCUAAUCCUGGUCGGACAUCAGGAGGUUAGUGCAAUGGCAUAAGCCAGCUUGACUGCGAGCGUGACGGCGCGAGCAGGUGCGAAAGCAGGUCAUAGUGAUCCGGUGGUUCUGAAUGGAAGGGCCAUCGCUCAACGGAUAAAAGGUACUCCGGGGAUAACAGGCUGAUACCGCCCAAGAGUUCAUAUCGACGGCGGUGUUUGGCACCUCGAUGUCGGCUCAUCACAUCCUGGGGCUGAAGUAGGUCCCAAGGGUAUGGCUGUUCGCCAUUUAAAGUGGUACGCGAGCUGGGUUUAGAACGUCGUGAGACAGUUCGGUCCCUAUCUGCCGUGGGCGCUGGAGAACUGAGGGGGGCUGCUCCUAGUACGAGAGGACCGGAGUGGACGCAUCACUGGUGUUCGGGUUGUCAUGCCAAUGGCACUGCCCGGUAGCUAAAUGCGGAAGAGAUAAGUGCUGAAAGCAUCUAAGCACGAAACUUGCCCCGA